UGGCGACUGCUUUGAGAAGUUCCCUUUGCUCCGUCCACCAUGAAAUACAGGAUUUCCCAGUGGCCCGCAGUUCAAUUCAACUUCCCAAUCCCAUUCUGACAUGUCGUUCCACUGCCUCCUCUACUGCCACAAUGAGGCCACACUCAAGUUGGAGGAGCAACCCCUCAUAUUUUGUCUGGGUAGCCUCCAUGCUGAUGAUCUGUUGGUUGCUUGUUGAAGAUAUCAUGCCUACGUUUUCCGCAGAAAUGUCGUAGCUGGCCAUUAGCUCCGUGAAAAGUUAAGAGCCUUCAUUUGAACCCUGUGACUCCAGUGCUAC
Molecule: long non-coding RNA, 316 nt
Organism: Hypanus sabinus (Atlantic stingray)
Lineage: Eukaryota; Metazoa; Chordata; Chondrichthyes; Myliobatiformes; Dasyatidae
Exons: 3
Source: RefSeq, a predicted model, not a curated record